Molecule: ribosomal RNA, 491 nt
Filed under: uncultured bacterium
Lineage: Bacteria
Description: bacterial SSU rRNA
Rfam family: Bacterial small subunit ribosomal RNA
Source: RNAcentral
GAUGAACGCUGGCGGCGUGCCUAAUACAUGCAAGUCGAGCGAGCUGAAUUCAAAGAUCCCUUCGGGGUGAUUUGUUGGACGCUAGCGGCGGAUGGGUGAGUAACACGUGGGCAAUCUGCCCUAAAGACUGGGAUACCACUUGGAAACAGGUGCUAAUACCGGAUAACAACAUGAAUCGCAUGAUUCAAGUUUGAAAGGCGGCGUAAGCUGUCACUUUAGGAUGAGCCCGCGGCGCAUUAGCUAGUUGGUGGGGUAAAGGCCUACCAAGGCAAUGAUGCGUAGCCGAGUUGAGAGACUGAUCGGCCACAUUGGGACUGAGACACGGGCCCAAACUCCUACGGGAGGCAGCAGUAGGGAAUCUUCCACAAUGGACGCAAGUCUGAUGGGAGCAACGCCGCGUGAGUGAAGAAGGGUUUUCGGAUCGUAAAGCUCUGUUGUUGGGUGAAAGUAAGGGAUAGGGAGCAGUAACUGGGUUUUCUAGUUUUGACGGG